This is a long non-coding RNA of Mesocricetus auratus (golden hamster), 382 nucleotides long. RefSeq lists it as uncharacterized. The record is from RefSeq and is a predicted model, not a curated record. The transcript is spliced from 3 exons. NCBI's taxonomy places the organism in Eukaryota, Metazoa, Chordata, Mammalia, Rodentia, Cricetidae.
ACACAAUCUUCAAGUGGGCACCAUCCCUCAAAUGUCCUCUAGUGAAGUCUGCUGUAAUUUCAAAGCUUGGACCAGUAAAAAAACGUUUCUGCAGUUGCUCUGGUGACGACAUCUGGAUUGAGGUGAAGAUGGAGCAAAAGGAGCUGCAGACCAAGGGUGGAAGCUGCGUUCAAGGGGGAGCCAGCUGCUGAGACAAAGAAUAAGAAAAAGUGUAGCAAUUCUUCUAGGGCGUGUCGCUAACCCUGUGAUACACAUCCCCUAUCCUUCUUUCUUAUGGUAGGAAAAAUUAAAAUGUUUUAGUGCAUUUAUUGAGUGGCUUCUCUCCAAAGAGCUAAGAUAAAGUCAUGAUUAUAUUUAUUUGAAAGAAACAAAACUCUCAUCC